UACGGAGGGUGCAAGCGUUAUCCGGAUUCACUGGGUUUAAAGGGUGCGUAGGUGGGUUGGUAAGUCAGUGGUGAAAUCCCCGAGCUUAACUUGGGAACUGCCAUUGAUACUAUCAGUCUUGAAUACCGUGGAGGUCGGCGGAAUAUGUCAUGUAGCGGUGAAAUGCUUAGAUAUGACAUAGAACACCAAUUGCGAAGGCAGCUGGCUACUCGGAUAUUGACACUGAGGCACGAAAGCGUGGGGAUCAAACAGG
RNAcentral lists this ribosomal RNA (253 nucleotides) under uncultured bacterium. Its description in RNAcentral is "partial 16S ribosomal RNA". It matches the Rfam family "Bacterial small subunit ribosomal RNA", at positions 524 to 776 of the family's 1533-position model. The record is from RNAcentral.